Molecule: RNA transcript, 4137 nt
Organism: Gadus morhua (Atlantic cod)
Lineage: Eukaryota; Metazoa; Chordata; Actinopteri; Gadiformes; Gadidae
Gene: rab39bb
Gene name: RAB39B, member RAS oncogene family b
Exons: 5
Source: RefSeq, a predicted model, not a curated record
GAGCUGCUCUGAACGGAGUCAGCGCGUUUUGUCUCCAUCUGCCGCCCUGUUUGAACCAAACACAAUCAUCAUCACAGCCGUGAUGAAGACUACAAUUCGCUAACAAAAUGAAACAAAACACCUAAGAGCAUCUCUAUUUUUUUUAUUGUCAGGUCAUAUAGCCUAACAUAUAAUAGCCAGAGCCAUUAAAACCAUAAAAUACCGUGGCCGCGUCUGACUGCCGUGCGCUUUUUACCAAGAACACAAGCGUUUACGGUUUAUUUCUGCACGUUCACACGGCGCAUUACGGCAGUGGUGCUGAUGCGGGAUGAGUCAGGCUAUCUGAAGCCGCUGCCAUUUCAUCAUAAGCGAACAACACACACACACACACACACACACAUACAUGCACGCACACACACAUACAUGCACGCACACACACACACACACACACUCACACGCACACGCACGCACACACACACACACACACACACACACACACACACACACACACUACGCGACGCGUAGCCUUUUCCCCACACCAGCACCGCCACGGAGCUUCUCUUAGAGGAGAGAAAAAGACGGUGUAUUUUACACCGGAAUCUGAGCCACUUCGGUUCCGUGCGCUGUGGAUCGUGAUCGCGCGGGGGGCGGUGUGAACGCGCAAAGGAUUCGUGCUGCACCUGCCUCGUCUCCCUGCCAUCUCAUACAGGGCCCGUCUCCCUACGAGGAGAUCCAACGCUUCAGACCGCGGUUGAUCACACUGCUCCCGGGUUGGAGGUCGCUGCUGGGGGUCUCUCCGGAGGAUUUGGUGUUUCCUGAGGGUCUCUGCGCCAUGGAGCUGAGCGCCUGUUAAAGCCCGCUCCGGAACGGCGCUAUAACAUCGCGAUAGACGAGGCGGCCAUGGAGGCGAUAUGGUUGUACCAGUUCCGGCUGAUCGUCAUCGGGGACUCGACCGUGGGCAAGUCCUGCCUCAUCCGCCGCUUCACCGAGGGACGCUUCGCUCAGGUGUCGGACCCCACGGUCGGCGUGGACUUCUUCUCGCGCCUCGUGGAGAUAGAACCCGGCAAGAGGAUCAAACUGCAGAUCUGGGACACCGCGGGGCAGGAGCGCUUCAGGUCCAUCACCAGGGCCUACUACCGCAACUCGGUGGGCGGGCUCCUCCUCUUCGACAUCACCAACCGCCGCUCCUUCCAGAACGUCCACGAUUGGCUGGAGGAGGCCCGUAGCCACGUGCAGCCCCACAGCAUCGUCUUCCUAUUGGUCGGCCACAAGUGCGACCUGGAGGCCCAGCGUCAGGUGACCCGGCAGGAGGCGGAGAAGCUGGCGGGCGCGUACGGCAUGCGCUACGUGGAGACCUCGGCGCGGGACGCCAUCAACGUGGAGCACGCCUUCACCGAGCUGACGCGGGACAUCUUCGCCCUGGUGCGCUCGGGCGACAUCACCAUCCAGGAGGGCUGGGAGGGCGUCAAGAGCGGCUUCGUGCCCAACGUGGUCCACUCCUCCGAGGAGGUGACCAAGAGCGACCGCCGCUGCCUCUGCUGAUCCCGGGAGAGAGGAGGGCCGAGGAAGAGGAGCAGGAGGAGGAGGAGUAGCAGGAGCAGGAGCAGGUGGAGGAGGAGUUGGACAAGGAGCAGGAGGAGGUGGUGGAGGUGGAGGAGGAAGGGGGAUGGGUUGUUGUUGAUCCGCGGGACGGGGAGGAAGAGGAAGAGGAGAAGGUGGGGACAGACGAGGAUGGACGCCGCAUUGGUGGAUGGCGUGGACUGUUGUUUUUUUCCCUUGCCUACUAUUGGUCAGCCUCGUCGCCUCCUGUGUUCUGAUUGGACGUUGGGGAGCAUGACAGGUAAAUGGGGGGGGAGGACAUGCUGAUUGACAUCAGGACACAGACAGAGGAUUCCGAAGACACCGAUUGGCUGGAUUUGCACUACCCUACCCACCAAUGUCCCCUGCUUCCUCCUGUCUUCUGAUCGGACGUUGAGGAGGACGAUUGACAGAGCAUGAGGGGAAGAAGGGAACGGAACAGCACCUUUUGUUUACUUUGGAUUUUGUUUACUUGGAGGCUUCAUGUUACCAGGUUGUUUUAUCGUUCAGGAGAUCAUUUCGUUUAUCUGUUUGCUGGCUGGAAGUUUCUGUCCAGAAGCAGCUGAGCCAUAUCAACGGUUAGUUCGGAGUUGUUCAGACCCUACCUUUUACACUUCUUGCUUGGGUCGGAUCCGUUUCUUCUCCAUCGCUUUGCCUCCUCCUCCCGAUUGGGCUCCUCUCUUCCUUUUUAUGCAAUCACACACUCCCCGAGAGGAGGUCCUGGUACGAAUGAACGUUGGUGUGUGACCAUUUUAACAAGCCAUCGAACCACGAAACUAUAUACUCUCCGUUUACUAGGAUUCACUCCCCACGAAACCCGCCAUUCCUCGUUAUGAAACCAUUCAGCCAUUCACACCAGACGACACAUACUCAUUUUGAACAAUGCCAUGGAUGCCCCAAGUUGAGCGCAACUUUAAGACCAAAUGGUCCCCCCCCUAUCUCUCAAAAGGAAAGGGAAAUGUCCUGGGAGGUAUCCUCCAGAGAAGGGGGAGGGGUGCCCUCUCCAACAUGGACGCCCUGAAAAACGCAUACAAAAUUUAAAACAACCAACACUACAGUUACAUAAAGGGUUAGCCCCUACUGUCCCUGCGCCUGCAGGCUUUAAAGACAAACUGGCCCCUACUUGAGACAACCACAGCUGCAAGGGGGAGCUGGCGGAUCUUAGUUUAACGUGAGUUAGACACAAGACUGCGUGUUUGUAAUAUAACAUCAAAGCAAUGACCUGCGUUUCCAUUGCACUUCUGAAGUCUCCACCACGAUAUGGACGUCCUCCCACUAUAGCAUAGCAAAACCAAGGGCGCACACCACACUCAUAAUAACCGUGGUAUCUUACCUACUGGGGACGUUUGUGUCCGAGGAGGAUGGGAUAGCUUUAGUUGGAGCACAAGGUCAUCUCCAGUCUGACCUGGGAAGUACCUAGCCAUGCCGGUACUGGCUGGGGAGGAGCCUUCAGCACCAUCUGGUGGUCGGUUUUGAUGCUGCGUUUAAUAUUUUGGAAUUCAGGGGAAACUGAAUCCCCUAGUUUACUUAGGUCAUGUGGCUUAAUUUUAUUUUAUCAUUCCAAACGCACAUGCAAUAUGCUUGGAUAUGACUGGUGUGCCACCUCCUAGAUAGAUCAAAUGCUAUCGGAUAUUGAUUUGGAGCAUCUGCAUUAAAUCUUUGAUAUCAAUGAUUCAAAGGGGAAUUAAGCGGCAACGCUUAAUUCCAACCUUUAAAAGGUUGACGGUGAGGAGUCUAUGCGUUGGUGAAGAAACACUAAAAUGAGUUUAGUCAUCUGUUCCUCCAGAAGUCUGCUGUACCUGAACCGUUUUAAUUCCUCUUGUAGGACCUUUCACCGAAUAGGGUCCCUAUUAGAACCCCCAGUGUCACGUUGAGCCAUUACAAGACAUCAAAUCAUCCCUCUUAAGUGUCCACCCAGAUGGAUGAGGGAUGACUCGACCAGCAUACAUACAGUGCACCAAUGGAAACCUCCCGGCUUGUGUACACCCUUUUAUUAGGAUGUCACGCAGGAACUGAUUUCGGACUUAACGUCCGGUCAAGGAUGGGUUUUGUUUUAAUCUCUAGUGUUCCUGAGCUUCCUGCCUUCCAAGGUUCAUCCAAUGUUCCCGGCUCGCCUUCUUAUUUUGAAAUGGACAAUUGGUAAAAAGGUUAAGGGCCUCUGCACUUUGAAGAGCGUUUUCACACUUUGCUUUAUCCAAUUUGGACCGGCACACUUUGAGGAAGUAGUAGGAAGUAGACGUCAGCAUAAUGAGUCAUGUUUUUCAGACUAAUCCCCAUCAGUUUAUGACCUCACUGCUGAACACUGAAUCAAACCUAUUUGGAAAAAGGGGCAAGGAAAUCUCACUUUAAACCUGAGCAAUGCCUGGAAUAGACAGUGUUUGGUUUGAUGCUGUAUGUUGCUGGUCUGGUUGUGGUCCCUGAUACACUUGUAGAAUUUCUUUCUCCAAGAGGAACGCGCUUUGGUUCUCUAUUUCCACGGCAGUCAAUAAGUCACCCUCCCUCUCUCUGCUCUACAACUUAUCUAUCCAUCAACUAGAAAUGUACAUUUUAAAACAAAAUAAAAUGACUGGUAAAAAAUAA